This 473-nucleotide ribosomal RNA is filed under the name uncultured cyanobacterium. Its description in RNAcentral is "bacterial SSU rRNA". It matches the Rfam family "Bacterial small subunit ribosomal RNA", at positions 355 to 840 of the family's 1533-position model. Lineage: Bacteria; Bacillati; Cyanobacteriota. The record is from RNAcentral.
UGGGGAAUUUUCCGCAAUGGGCGAAAGCCUGACGGAGCAAGACCGCGUGAGGGAGGAAGGCUCUUGGGUUGUAAACCUCUUUUCUCUGGGAAGAACAAAAUGACGGUACCAGAGGAAUCAGCAUCGGCUAACUCCGUGCCAGCAGCCGCGGUAAGACGGAGGAUGCAAGCGUUAUCCGGAAUGAUUGGGCGUAAAGCGUCCGCAGGUGGCAAUUCAAGUCUGCUGUUAAAGCGCAGGGCUUAACCCUGUAAAGGCAGUGGAAACUGAAUAGCUAGAGUAUGGUAGGGGUAGAGGGAAUUCCCAGUGUAGCGGUGAAAUGCGUAGAUAUUGGGAAGAACAUCGGUGGCGAAGGCGCUCUACUGGACCAUAACUGACACUCACAGGACGAAAGCUAGGGGAGCGAAUGGGAUUAGAUACCCCAGUAGUCCUAGCCGUAAACGAUGGAUACUAGGUGUUGUCUGUAUCGACCCGGA